CCUGACAAGGCCGAACCCAUCGUGAGAUGGGGGCGGAAAGCCACGGGUCUUGAAAUUUCCUGCUGACCCCCAUUUAGGGCGUAUACGAGAUAUCUCCACCUGAAAAGAUAGCCGAGCUGCCGAGU
RNAcentral lists this non-coding RNA (125 nucleotides) under Nitrospinota bacterium. Its description in RNAcentral is "Nitrospira bacterium c-di-GMP sequence". It matches the Rfam family "c-di-GMP-I-GGC riboswitch aptamer". The record is from RNAcentral. Lineage: Bacteria; Pseudomonadati; Nitrospinota.